Molecule: transfer RNA, 74 nt
Filed under: Caudoviricetes sp.
Lineage: Duplodnaviria; Heunggongvirae; Uroviricota; Caudoviricetes
Description: tRNA-Met
Rfam family: tRNA
About the family: Transfer RNA (tRNA) molecules are approximately 80 nucleotides in length. Their secondary structure includes four short double-helical elements and three loops (D, anti-codon, and T loops).
Source: RNAcentral
GUGCUGUUCGCCCAGCGGCUAGGGCAGAUGUCUCAUAAACAUCAGCGGCGUGGGUUCGAAUCCCACACAGCGCA